Molecule: transfer RNA, 72 nt
Filed under: Capra hircus (goat)
Lineage: Eukaryota; Metazoa; Chordata; Mammalia; Artiodactyla; Bovidae
Also listed under: 1 other name
Rfam family: tRNA
About the family: Transfer RNA (tRNA) molecules are approximately 80 nucleotides in length. Their secondary structure includes four short double-helical elements and three loops (D, anti-codon, and T loops). Further hydrogen bonds mediate the characteristic L-shaped molecular structure. tRNAs have two regions of fundamental functional importance: the anti-codon, which is responsible for specific mRNA codon recognition, and the 3' end, to which the tRNAs corresponding amino acid is attached (by aminoacyl-tRNA synthetases). tRNAs cope with the degeneracy of the genetic code in two manners: having more than one tRNA (with a specific anti-codon) for a particular amino acid; and 'wobble' base-pairing, i.e. permitting non-standard base-pairing at the 3rd anti-codon position.
Source: Rfam by way of RNAcentral
UCCCUUAUAGCUCAGUUGGUAAAGAAUCUGACUGCAAUGCAGGAGACCCAGGUUCGAUUCCUGGGUUGGGAA